This 2548-nucleotide long non-coding RNA is filed under the name Callithrix jacchus (white-tufted-ear marmoset). Its description in RNAcentral is "lncRNA (ENSCJAG00000052508.2)". Lineage: Eukaryota; Metazoa; Chordata; Mammalia; Primates; Cebidae. The record is from RNAcentral.
UGCAUAAUCAAUUGUACCUUUAGCUCAUCAAAUUUUUUCUAUCAUUUAUUUGACUGUACUUCCCAUGCAUGAGAGAGAAUAUUACUUCCCUCAAGAGUUGUAGAUACUUUGAUCUAUUCUGAAUUGGCAUUUGAGGAAGUAUUGUCCCAUAGUUUCCAUUCCUUUGUUAUUUAGCUCUGGGAUGUUUUUCUCAACUUUAUCUUCCAAAUCACCCAACUUCAUUUUUUAGCCGUUUUCAUUCAUUAUUGAAUUAUUUAAUUCAUUUCUUUAUCUUUUAGAAAUCUUAUUUAAUUUCUAAAAAAUCUCUUACUUCCAGAUUACUUCUUUUUUGGAGUGGUCUAAUUGUGUUUUAGGGAUAUAAUAUCUUCUUGAAUAUAUACUAGGAGACCAAUCAGAUUUUUAGGUUUUCUUCUGUUCUUUACACUAGCUCCAUUUCCCUAGGUCAUUUAUUCUAUUUGUUUAUUUUUGAUAACCUUAGUUUAUGCUAUUGGUUAGGUAACUGUCAACAUGGAUAAAUGAGGAUUAUGCAAUUAGCGUAAGUUAAUGGUAAGAUUUUUGUGGUCAUUACUUGAUUUAGCAAAGGUCCCUUCCUCUUUCUGGUAAGGCUACUAGGGGGCUGGGCUUCUGACAAUCCAGCUUCCCUGUGGAAUGUGUAGGAAGGAAAUAGGCACAUGGCAUCAGUUCUCCCAACAUUGCUAUUGAAAGGGAGAGUUUACUCUGAGGUCAAAAUAAAGUAAUUUUUUUCUUUCAUUCCUGUGGCAGACUGGAGCUGUCUUUUCUUAACAGCCCACGAAGCGACUCACACUUUGGACUGCUGUGUGGGUCUAGAGUUAUCUCCAGCGCUGGUUUCUUUUCUCUAUUCCCAGUUCUCCAGUAGGGACUCGUCUGGAGGCUGAGGUGGAAGAAUCGCUGGAACCCAGCAGGUGGAGUUGCAGUGAGCCGAGAUUGCACCACUGCAUUCCAGCCAGAAGCUGGAAGGAGCAACCAGCCUAUGAAACUGGGAGAUUUCAAGGAGUUAAUGCCCUUAGGAGCAUCUCCCAAUCCAUGCUAGAAAGAAGCUGAUAUAGAAAUAAAUCUCCUUGUUUACCCUCUGUAACACUAUUGUGAGUUAUUUUCUAUGCUCCUCAGAUAGUUUUGGGUGGGAAGGCUAUGUGUGUCCUCCAUGCAGUCCUAAAAAACACACCCUUAUAUUAUCUUUGUCAUUCUUCAUCACUCCUCAAUCCUACUCCCUGAGGAGUAGGAACACAUGUUCUUAUUUUGGGCUUUGUUUACCAAGGGAACUAAAGCUCAAUUAUAAGGCAAAUUAAUAACAGAGAUCCAACUAAGACACAUUUAGAGGAGUCUGAGCAAAAAGAAGAAAUACUUCAUGUGACGCUGAGGCAUUAGUGGCAUUGAAGAAGGCUCUUGUUUUUCUAAAUUCACAAAAGGCAUUGGUAGAUGUGGAAUAGAAUGGAGGAAGUGGGGCCUGAGAGAGCAUUUCCAGAUUUCCUGCCACCUUUCACACUGGAAGCAAGAGAGCAGCUCACAUGAUUCAGAAAACACUGCUGUUCUCUUCCCUCUACAUCCUCACUUCUUCUCCAACCACUGAAGUUUUGACUGACUAUUCUGAAAGUAAAACAUAACACAUACUUGCACAUGUGCACGUGUGUGCACACAGCAACUCUCUAGCAUCGGUCUAUUGCUUUAUCAUUUAUCCAUAUUUAUAUCUAUAAACACAUAUAUAAUACAUUAUAUAUAUAUAGUAUGUGCAUAUAUGCUUGCAUAUUCUUCAUUCCAUGUCAUUUUUACGUUUAAUAUUGCAUUUAGUAGACUUCAAUACACCAUGUAGUCUAACAGCAUUAACUUUUUUCUACAUGGUAGUUGUCCUCUUAUUCACUUAAUUCUAUGACUUCAGUUGACAUUUAAACUACCAGUUUUUAAACUGCCUUAUUUUUCUUUCCUGAACUUCAAUCUUGAUAAAAUUUUUAAGUUAUCCAAAGCACACCUUUAAGUAAAUUUGUGACCUAUAAUUUCUCAAAUUUUGCAGACUUGAGGUUUGUUUCUGUUUUCUUUGUGCACAAAAGGCAGCUUAUUUAAUAAUGCAAUUUUGGAGUCAUAAAUGGUUUUUUGAGCUAAACUGCUAUUUUUUUAAAAAAAAUUGUUGCAGACAAAAAAAUCUGGGAACAAUGUGAUUUUAAUUGCUUUGUUGAAAAUAUACUUGACUUCCUACCUAUCCAUACACCACCACCACCACUCCUGGAUCAUUUAACCAAGGGUUAUUUGUUCAGAUGUUCUUUUAAACAACAUAGUUAAAAAUUAGUUCCUUUCUUCAACAAGCACUUAUUGCAUAUUUCAUAAUUCCUCUUGUAUAAUUCCUAUUGCAACAGGCACUUAUUGUAUAUUUAUGUAUAUCAGACAGUAUUUUAGGUAGUGGGCAAAUAAUAGCAAACCAAAAGACAAAAAUUCCAGUUGUCCUGGAGCUUAAAUUCUAGUAGAGAAAAAAAGACAAUAUGUAAGAUAGGUAAACAUUUAUAAUAUUUUAGAUGGUAGUAAGUGCUAAGUAUUCACC